UCCUACGGGAGGCAGCAGUGGGGAAUAUUGCACAAUGGGCGCAAGCCUGAUGCAGCCAUGCCGCGUGUGUGAAGAAGGCCUUCGGGUUGUAAAGCACUUUCAGUCGUGAGGAAGGUAGUGUAGUUAAUAGCUGCAUUAUUUGACGUUAGCGACAGAAGAAGCACCGGCUAACUCCGUGCCAGCAGCCGCGGUAAUACGGAGGGUGCGAGCGUUAAUCGGAAUUACUGGGCGUAAAGCGCAUGCAGGUGGUUUGUUAAGUCAGAUGUGAAAGCCCGGGGCUCAACCUCGGAAUUGCAUUUGAAACUGGCAGACUAGAGUACUGUAGAGGGGGGUAGAAUUUCAGGUGUAGCGGUGAAAUGCGUAGAGAUCUGAAGGAAUACCGGUGGCGAAGGCGGCCCCCUGGACAGAUACUGACACUCAGAUGCGAAAGCGUGGGGAGCAAACAGGAUUAGAUACCCUGGUAGUCCACGCCGUAAACGAUGUCUACUUGGAGGUUGUGGCCUUGAGCCGUGGCUUUCGGAGCUAACGCGUUAAGUAGACCGCCUGGGGAGUACGGUCGCAAGAUUAAAACUCAAAUGAAUUGACGGA
This 588-nucleotide ribosomal RNA is filed under the name uncultured bacterium. RNAcentral's name for it is "bacterial SSU rRNA". It matches the Rfam family "Bacterial small subunit ribosomal RNA", at positions 337 to 917 of the family's 1533-position model. The record is from RNAcentral.